Molecule: long non-coding RNA, 2774 nt
Organism: Spinacia oleracea (spinach)
Lineage: Eukaryota; Viridiplantae; Streptophyta; Magnoliopsida; Caryophyllales; Amaranthaceae
Exons: 3
Source: RefSeq, a predicted model, not a curated record
ACACAAUAGUGAUUCCCAUAAUUCUUUCUCUCUCUUCAUUCAAUUUUCUCUCUCCUCCUGCAAAUCCUCUCUACUAUCGGGCUUCAUCUUCUUCAACUUCGUACGUUGUUUCUCGUUGUUCUUGCAAAUAUCUUCACCUUUUUUUACGACUCUCUUCCAAUUAUUUUGCCAGGGACAAAAAUUAGAUGUUAUCAGCUAUACCCAGAACCGGAGUCAGUUUAUUGUGCCUUAUGUUUGAGAAAAACUAGUUGCAAAAUUUUCCAUACAUGUAUAAAGAGUCUCCCUUUUAACUGGACAUGUGCAAGUGACAACGAAAGAUGUAGGAACUCUUGGAGAACUGAAAAUCACUGAUAAUUCAAGCUUGAUAAGAAGCAGACAGUUCAGAUUAGGUCUAAAGGUUGUCUCAGGUUAUGGUGAAGGUGUUCGUAUUCAUGAAGCAAAAACAGAAGCUUUCACCGUCAAGGAUCACGGAGGGGAAUGCUAGAGUGAGCAUCUUUGGUAAAAGCAGGCGAGUAGUGAGCAUUUCCAUAUCUUUGAGCCUUCUGACACUAAGGACACACAGAAGAAAAGGAUCAUUCUGGUUAUAUAUUCUUCAGGUUGGAUAAUAGGCUUCACUGACCCUUUUUUGCCGUCUCCACAAAUUUUUGAGUUUUUGUUUUACUUUUAUUCAUUCUAUUUAAAACACUAGCCUACUAGCUCAAUUGGUAUAGCAUUGUGCAAAAGCACAAAAGAUGUGGGUUCGAAUUGUUAGGUUAUGAUACAUAUGAAAAACAUAAAUCAUGCGGAAAAAACCUUAAUGCCAGGAAACAUAUUAUUUACACAUAAUCAGUUAGCAUAAUUUAGAUGCAUACACUUUGUAGCGUGCCCUCCCUUGCUGCGCCUGAACCGAACAAGAACAAGUCUUUAGGACUCCAAGUGUCGUCCCUCCGUAGAUAGUCCACAACACGUCCGGAUCCGCCUUAAGAUUGACCAACUAGAAUCGCCCUUAAGGUACUAUUAUUUUCGGCUAAAUGGGCAAGUAAUGUGACUGAUUUUUCUGCUCAAAAAUCACAGCUUUUAUUGUAUGAAUACUUGUUAAAAACUCUUGUAUAAAUUUAUGACCCUAGGCAUAUAUUUAUAGAAUCAUGGAAAAGGAUUUCGAAUCCUGUUAGAAUACUAAUUAAUUAAUUGGAAUCCUUUUAGAACUCUAAAUAAUUAAUUUCUAUCUUCUAGGAUUAGGAUUUAAUCAUAGCACGAAAUCCGAUAGCUUUAGGAUUCGUAUAGCAUGCACACGAGCACGAACACCGCACAGCCCGCGCGCAUGCCUCGCGGCCCACGCGAACUGCACGUCGCCUUGGCCCAAUGCUCGCAGCCCACCUGAUCCGUGCGCGCGCCACGCCUAGCUGGACCUGGCCUUGCGCUGGGCCUGGUGAGGCUUUGGCGUGUGGUUUUGAUGCGUAUGGCUUGCUAGGCGACGGCCUGGCUUCGUGUUGGGCCUUCGUCUAGCAAGUCUCGUCUGAUGUUAAUUCGUACGAUACGCUUCCGAUUAAAUUCCCGAUUCCGGAAUUCAUUUCCGAUACGAACAAUAUUUAACAUUUCCGAUUCCGGAAUUAAUUUCCGUUUCGAACAAAUAUUUAAUAUUUCCUUUUCCGGAAUUAUUUUCCGAUUCCGAUAAUAUUUCCGAUUCUGACAAUAUUUGUAAUACCUCGUAUUUUUCUGUAUUUUAUAAAUAUAUUUUAUUAUAUUUAUAAAGUAUUUUUAUGAUUUUUAGAAUUUAAAACGCAUUUAAAUGUUAUUUAAAUGUAUUUUAUUUGAUUAGAAUAUUUAUUAGUUAAUUUAAUUAUUACCAAAAGAAUUUAUUAUUUAAUGUUGUGAAUUUAAUUGGGUUUCAAAAGUAAAACGAUUUUAAAUGAAUCAAGCCCAAUUCAAUUCCAAGUUCAAGUCCAAACAAAUUAAACAAGCUCAUCCUAUGUUUAAUGAAGCCCGAAAGGGAAUCCUAAAGCCUAGCCCAUCUUUGGGUUUCCUAAGCCUAUAAAUAUAGGUGCUCACCCUCAAAAUCGCUCCCUAUUAUUCAUUAAACCUAAAAAUAAAACCCUAACCCUACAUUCUUCUUUCUUUCGUCGAACUUAUGUUUGGCCGUUUUUCUCCUACUUCCGUUCGUUUUCAGAAAAAGAUUUCUUCUUCAAAGUUGUAGAUAUCAAAAAGUUCUUGAACUUUUCCUCAAGAAUCGAUCAAUUUCGAGUUAUAAAUCAGAAGUUAUGAGCAUUCUAAAUUCCUGCUGCAGUACUUCACUUUUCUCUCCUCUCUCUUUUGCUCUCGUCCGUGCACAGCCCAGCCCCGAGCCUUGCUCGUCGCUGCUGCCUUCACCCUCACCCGUGCCCAGCCGAGCACUUCUUGCGUGUGCCUUGCCCCUCGUUGCACAACACUCGUGGCCCUCGCCCGUGUUGUUGUCUAGCUUCGUCGUUGCAUCCCCGCACAACACUCGUGCCUUUGCCGAGUGUUGUUGCUGCUGCUGUUGUUUGUUGCCCUCGACGCCAUUCCACCUCGCACACUCGGUGCUCUCUCAUGCUCGACGCCCAGCCGCGAGCCUUGCCCGUGCCUUCGUUGCUGUCCCGUCGCACCACAUGCGCACACACAAGUCGUGUGUGUUGUCGUGUGUUAUAUUCCGUAUUCCUUUGAUCUUUUUGCGCCCAAUCACAUUCAAAUCGUGAUUGUACCGUGCUAUAGGCCGGUUCGGUAUAAUUCUCUUCUUCCUUGCCUAUUCUAUUUCAAUUCUGUAUUUAAAUUAUAUUAUU